GUGACAGCAAAUAAUUUGGUGGGAGUGUAGCGGCGGAUGUGUAAAGCUGGCCCACAUUCACGUAAUGUAACGUUUGUGCUUUUAUUCUGGUAACUUCCUGUGUGACCGGAAGUGAAUGAUGUAACGGUAAAAAUUGGAUGUACAAAAAAGACGGAAGAAAACGGAAAACUAAUACUAACGGAGAAAAGGGAGAGAAGAUUAUGGUUAAAUUGUACGAAGACAAAUGGUUCUAGCUACAGUCGACAGGGGAACAAGCUCUUACGUUGGUUCGUUGUCUGAUACACGGCAAGGAAUAAUAAAGGUCAUUCAACAACCAUCAGUUCUGGCCUUCUCAGUUCGACUGGAUGCUACACCUUUGGAGGUGGGGUGCCCCCGGCCUCUCGGCCUGGGGCUCGGUCACUCAGGCACAGCUGGGGGCCGGCGGAGCUCACGGGCGCGUCACUGCAACCCCCCCUGACUUCUGCUCCGCGGCUGCUGGGCGAGCCCUCAUCUGGGACUCUCCUCAGCUCCUACUGGAACAGUGGCGCGGCUGCCCCUCUGUUGGUCUUCCAUGGUCUCUUGUGUUCUGGGGGCCUCUGGAUGUCUGGAGUUUUGAUCUCCUCCAUACCCGCUUCACACCCUGGAGGACGGGGCUGUGGCCCCCCCACACUCCCUAGCAGAUCAUUACAUGGAGAAACCUUUGGAAUGCAAGCAUGCUGAUCCACACAGGUGACCCAGGAGUUCUUUUUUUUUUUUUCUCUCUCUCUUCCCCCCCUUCUCACUGUCUCUUCUCCCCUUUGGUUUUCUUUCUUUCUCUCCCCCUCUUUCUCUCAUUCAUUCCCCCUGUGCUAUUUAUUAAAAAAAAAAAAAAAAAUGACAAAGGAUGAACUGAAGCUCUGCCAUCACGUAAUGUCGCAUACUGCUGUUUCUG
Long non-coding RNA from Astatotilapia calliptera (eastern happy), 910 nucleotides. The record is from Ensembl. Lineage: Eukaryota; Metazoa; Chordata; Actinopteri; Cichliformes; Cichlidae.